UACGUAGGGUGCGAGCGUUAAUCGGAAUUACUGGGCGUAAAGCGUGCGCAGGCGGUUUGGUAAGUCAGAUGUGAAAUCCCCGGGCUUAACCUGGGAAUGGCAUUUGUGACUGCCCGGCUAGAGUGUGUCAGAGGGGGGUAGAAUUCCACGUGUAGCAGUGAAAUGCGUAGAUAUGUGGAGGAAUACCGAUGGCGAAGGCAGCCCCCUGGGAUAACACUGACGCUCAGGCACGAAAGCGUGGGGAGCAAACAGG
RNAcentral lists this ribosomal RNA (253 nucleotides) under uncultured bacterium. RNAcentral's name for it is "partial 16S ribosomal RNA". It matches the Rfam family "Bacterial small subunit ribosomal RNA", at positions 524 to 776 of the family's 1533-position model. The record is from RNAcentral.